CCUACGGGGCGCUGCAGUGGGGAAUAUUGCACAAUGGGCGCAAGCCUGAUGCAGCCAUGCCGCGUGUGUGAAGAAGGCCUUCGGGUUGUAAAGCACUUUCAGCGGGGAGGAAGGCGUUAAGGUUAAUAACCUUGGCGAUUGACGUUACCCGCAGAAGAAGCACCGGCUAACUCCGUGCCAGCAGCCGCGGUAAUACGGAGGGUGCAGGCGUUAAUCGGAAUUACUGGGCGUAAAGCGCACGCAGGCGGUCGGUCAAGUCGGAUGUGAAAUCCCCGGGCUCAACCUGGGAACUGCAUUCGAAACUGGCAGGCUAGAGUCUUGUAGAGGGGGGUAGAAUUCCAGAUGUAGCGGUGAAAUGCGUAGAGAUCUGGAGGAAUACCGGUGGCGAAGGCGGCCCCCUGGACAAAGACUGACGCUCAGGUGCGAAAGCGUGGGGAGCAAACAGGAUUAGAUACCCGAGUAGUC
This 465-nucleotide ribosomal RNA is filed under the name uncultured Klebsiella sp. RNAcentral's name for it is "bacterial SSU rRNA". It matches the Rfam family "Bacterial small subunit ribosomal RNA", at positions 338 to 795 of the family's 1533-position model. The record is from RNAcentral. Lineage: Bacteria; Pseudomonadati; Pseudomonadota; Gammaproteobacteria; Enterobacterales; Enterobacteriaceae.